Molecule: ribosomal RNA, 399 nt
Filed under: uncultured bacterium
Lineage: Bacteria
Description: bacterial SSU rRNA
Rfam family: Bacterial small subunit ribosomal RNA
Source: RNAcentral
GAUGAACGCUGGCGGCGUGCUUAACACAUGCAAGUCGAACGAAGCACUUUAACCGAUUUCUUCGGAAUGAAGUUUUAGUGACUGAGUGGCGGACGGGUGAGUAACGCGUGGGUAACCUGCCUCACACAGGGGGAUAACAGUUGGAAACGGCUGCUAAUACCGCAUAAGCGCACAGUACCGCAUGGUACGGUGUGAAAAACUCCGGUGGUGUGAGAUGGACCCGCGUCUGAUUAGCUAGUUGGCAGGGCAACGGCCUACCAAGGCGACGAUCAGUAGCCGACCUGAGAGGGUGACCGGCCACAUUGGGACUGAGACAGGCCCAAACUCCUACGGGAGCAGCAGUGGGGAAUAUUGCACAAUGGGGGGAAACCCUGAUGCAGCGAUGCCGCGUGAGCGAAG